UACGAAGGGGGCUAGCGUUGCUCGGAAUUACUGGGCGUAAAGGGCGCGUAGGCGGAUGCUUAAGUUGGGGGUGAAAGCCCAGGGCUCAACCCUGGAAUUGCCUUCAAUACUGGGCAUCUUGAGUACGGGAGAGGUGUGUGGAACUCCGAGUGUAGAGGUGAAAUUCGUAGAUAUUCGGAAGAACACCAGUGGCGAAGGCGACACACUGGCCCGUUACUGACGCUGAGGCGCGAAAGCGUGGGGAGCAAACAGG
RNAcentral lists this ribosomal RNA (253 nucleotides) under uncultured bacterium. RNAcentral's name for it is "partial 16S ribosomal RNA". It matches the Rfam family "Bacterial small subunit ribosomal RNA", at positions 524 to 776 of the family's 1533-position model. The record is from RNAcentral.